GAUGAACGCUGGCGGCGUGCCUAAUACAUGCAAGUCGAGCGAACAGACGAGGAGCUUGCUCCUCUGACGUUAGCGGCGGACGGGUGAGUAACACGUGGAUAACCUACCUAUAAGACUGGGAUAACUUCGGGAAACCGGAGCUAAUACCGGAUAAUAUAUUGAACCGCAUGGUUCAAUAGUGAAAGACGGUUUUGCUGUCACUUAUAGAUGGAUCCGCGCCGCAUUAGCUAGUUGGUAAGGUAACGGCUUACCAAGGCAACGAUGCGUAGCCGACCUGAGAGGGGGAACCGGCAAAACUGAACCUGGAAACGGGUCCGACUCCCACGGGAGGCAGCAGUAGGGGAUUUUUCGGAAAGGGGGGAAGGCCGAAGGGGGAAACGCGCGGGGGGGAAGGAAGUGUUUGGGACGGUAAAACUUUUUAUUAGGGAAAAAAAAAAUGGGAAGGAAACUUGGACGUUUUGAAGGGAACCAAAUAGAAAGGCAACGGCAACCACCGG
Molecule: ribosomal RNA, 497 nt
Filed under: uncultured bacterium
Lineage: Bacteria
Description: partial 16S ribosomal RNA
Rfam family: Bacterial small subunit ribosomal RNA
Source: RNAcentral